This 339-nucleotide unclassified non-coding RNA is filed under the name soil metagenome. Its description in RNAcentral is "partial contains 5.8S ribosomal RNA, internal transcribed spacer 2, and large subunit ribosomal RNA". The stretch from base 1 to 120 matches the Rfam family "5.8S ribosomal RNA", at positions 35 to 154 of the family's 154-position model. The record is from RNAcentral.
GAUGAAGAACGUAGCGAAAUGCGAUAAGUAAUGUGAAUUGCAGAAUUCCGUGAAUCAUCGAAUCUUUGAACGCACAUUGCGCCCCCUGGUAUUCCGGGGGGCAUGCCUGUCCGAGCGUCAUUGCAACCCUCAAGCGCGGCUUGUGUGUUGGGCUUCGUCCCCCCGUGGACGUGCCCGAAAGGCAGUGGCGGCGUCCCGAAUGGUGCCCGAGCGUAUGGGAACUCUCUUCUGCUCGAACCGGCCCAUUCGGCGCUGGUCGAACCCCAAUUUUUUUUUACCGGUUGACCUCGGAUCAGGUAGGGAUACCCGCUGAACUUAAGCAUAUCAAUAAGCGGAGGA